AGUGAGGGCACAACUAUGGAGACAUAGCUAAUUCCUCAUACGUCCCGAUAAAUGAAAAUAAUCGGGAGAAAGAUUUAUCGCUCAAGGAGGGGGGUGCGGCCUAUCAGGUAGUUGGUGAGGUAAUGGCUCACCAAGCCUAUGACGGGUAGCCGGUCUGAGAGGAUGUCCGGCCGCAAUGGAACUGAGAACGGUCCAUACUCCUACGGGAGGCAGCAGUGGGGAAUAUUGGACAAUGGGCGAAAGCCUGAUCCAGCGAUUCUGCGUGAAGGAUGAAGCCUCGUGGGGUGUAAACUUCUUUUCUGGGAGAAGACGAAUGACGGUAUCUCAGGAAUAAGAGACGGCUAACUACGUG
Molecule: ribosomal RNA, 352 nt
Filed under: uncultured bacterium
Lineage: Bacteria
Description: bacterial SSU rRNA
Rfam family: Bacterial small subunit ribosomal RNA
Source: RNAcentral